RNAcentral lists this ribosomal RNA (468 nucleotides) under uncultured bacterium. RNAcentral describes it as "partial 16S ribosomal RNA". It matches the Rfam family "Bacterial small subunit ribosomal RNA", at positions 28 to 507 of the family's 1533-position model. The record is from RNAcentral.
GACGAACGCUGGCGGCGUGCUUAACACAUGCAAGUCGAACGGAAAGGCCCUGCUUUUGUGGGGUGCUCGAGUGGCGAACGGGUGAGUAACACGUGAGUAACCUGCCCUUGACUUUGGGAUAACUUCAGGAAACUGGGGCUAAUACCGGAUAGGAGCUCGUGCUGCAUGGUGGGGGGUGGAAAGUUUCGGCGGUUGGGGAUGGACUCGCGGCUUAUCAGCUUGUUGGUGGGGUAGUGGCUUACCAAGGCUUUGACGGGUAGCCGGCCUGAGAGGGUGACCGGCCACAUUGGGACUGAGCUACGGCCCAGACUCCUACGGGAGGCAGCAGUGGGGAAUAUUGCACAAUGGGCGGAAGCCUGAUGCAGCAGCGCCGCGUGCGGGAUGACGGCCUUCGGGUUGUAAACCGCUUUCGCCUGUGACGAAGCGUGAGUGACGGUAAUGGGUAAAGAAGCACCGGCUAACUACGUG